GACGAACGCUGGCGGCAUGCCUAAUACAUGCAAGUCGAGCGAACAGAUGAAGUGCUUGCACUUCUGACGUUAGCGGCGAACGGGUGAGUAACACGUAAGGAAUCUACCUAUAAGCGGGGGAUAACAUUCGGAAACGGGUGCUAAUACCGCAUAAUAUCUUCUUCCGCAUGGAAGAAGAUUGAAAGACGGCUCUGCUGUCACUUAUAGAUGACCUUGCGGUGCAUUAGUUAGUUGGGGGGGUAAUGGCCUACCAAGACGAUGAUGCAUAGCCGACCUGAGAGGGUGAUCCGCCACCUUGGGACUGAGACACGGCCCAAACUCCUACGGGAGGCAGCAGUAGGGAAUCUUCCGCAAUGGGCGAAAGCCUGACGGAGCAAUGCCGCGUGAGUGAAGAAGGCCUUCGGGUCGUAAAACUCUGUUAUAAGAGAAGAACAAAUUGUAGAGUAACUGCUACAGUCUUGACGGUAUCUUAUCAGAAAGCCACGGCUAACUACGUGCCAGCCCCCGCGGUAA
This 513-nucleotide ribosomal RNA is filed under the name uncultured bacterium. Its description in RNAcentral is "partial 16S ribosomal RNA". It matches the Rfam family "Bacterial small subunit ribosomal RNA", at positions 28 to 523 of the family's 1533-position model. The record is from RNAcentral.